GUGGGGAAUAUUGCACAAUGGGGGGAACCCUGAUGCAGCGACGCCGCGUGAGCGAAGAAGGUAUUCGUAUCGUAAAGCUCUGUCCUAUGGGAAGAUAAUGACGGUACCAUAGGAGGAAGCUCCGGCUAACUACGUGCCAGCAGCCGCGGUAAUACGUAGGGAGCAAGCGUUGUCCGGAAUCACUGGGCGUAAAGGGUUCGCAGGCGGCAAUGCAAGUCUCGUGUGAAAGGCAAGGGCUCAACCCUUGUAAGCACAAGAAACUGCAUAGCUUGAGUAGUGGAGAGGCAAGUGGAAUUCCUAGUGUAGCGGUGAAAUGCGUAGAUAUUAGGAGGAAUACCGGUGGCGAAGGCGACUUGCUGGACACAAACUGACGCUGAGGAACGAAAGCGUGGGGAGCAAACAGGA
Molecule: ribosomal RNA, 405 nt
Filed under: uncultured bacterium
Lineage: Bacteria
Description: bacterial SSU rRNA
Rfam family: Bacterial small subunit ribosomal RNA
Source: RNAcentral